Salvia hispanica is the source of this 775-nucleotide non-coding RNA. The record is from RefSeq and is a predicted model, not a curated record. Lineage: Eukaryota; Viridiplantae; Streptophyta; Magnoliopsida; Lamiales; Lamiaceae.
GCUAAUCUGACCAUGGAAUCUUUCAAUAAGCGUACUCUAUCAUGAAAUGUGGCAGCACAGCAGUAUUGAUUUUCACUUCUCUUUGUUUGUGAUUACUCUUUUAAUAAAGGAGGAACUCAAACUGAACCUCUCAUUCCAAUCAAUCAUGUCUUGUAGUUUAAAACGCAUUGUAUGUUUAAAAGGGUAGAUUGAAGGUGGUAUUGGUGAAAAAAGCAGAGGUCUUCCACCAACCUAAACCUUGCAUCAAGUGGGAUCUCUAUAUUUACAGCUAAGUUUCAAAACUUGAGAUAAUUCUCGUGUCAUGGAGUUCGGACAUGUUUGGAUGAGUAACUAAUGGUGUAGCUUUCGGUGGCCUAAUUUUUAGAUCUAAUGGCGUAGCUUUCAGCGACCUAAUGGCGUAGCUUUCGGGCAUGGAUGCAAGCCACAACUUCUGGUAGAGGAAUGAGGUAUGAAUUUUGGUCGAGUUUGAGGUCAAACUCAAUAAAGCAUGAGGCAGUGGAAACAUAAAGCCAUUAGAGAAGGUCCUAUGUUUGCUCUUAUUGCAUUUUGGAAUAGCAUUGGAUUCCUCAAAACUCCUCCACUGUGACUAUGGGGGGAAUGUCUUUCACUUUCACCACAGUGCAAAAUGUCAUAGGCCAUGGAAUUAAUUUGAAAUUGAGGCUGUUAUUUGGUUUACAAUUGUGGAAUCGUCAGCUUAUCUUACUUAGGUGACUAGAAUUAAAAACAUCGUACAUGUGCGGUUUGACAUCUUGGAAUGGAUCUUAUCUUGAUGAGA